This is a non-coding RNA of Acanthosepion pharaonis, 113 nucleotides long. The record is from the annotation of a GenBank genome assembly. NCBI's taxonomy places the organism in Eukaryota, Metazoa, Mollusca, Cephalopoda, Sepiida, Sepiidae.
UUACGGCCAUAUCACGUUGAAACAGCGGGUCCCAUACGAUCUUGAAGUUAAGCAACGUCGAGUCUGAUCAGUAUGUAGAUGGUUGUCUGCUUGGGAAUACCAGGUGCUGUAAG